This 791-nucleotide ribosomal RNA is filed under the name uncultured bacterium. RNAcentral describes it as "bacterial SSU rRNA". It matches the Rfam family "Bacterial small subunit ribosomal RNA", at positions 8 to 796 of the family's 1533-position model. The record is from RNAcentral.
AGAGUUUGAUCAUGGCUCAGAUUGAACGCUGGCGGCAUGCCUUACACAUGCAAGUCGAACGGCAGCGCGGGAGCAAUCCUGGCGGCGAGUGGCGAACGGGUGAGUAAUAUAUCGGAACGUGCCCUGUAGCGGGGGAUAACCUAUCGAAAGAUGGACUAAUACCGCAUACGCUCUACGGAGGAAAGCGGGGGUCGCAAGACCUCGCACUAUAGGAGCGGCCGAUAUCGGAUUAGCUAGUUGGCGGGGUAAAAGCCCACCAAGGCGACGAUCCGUAGCUGGUCUGAGAGGAUGAUCAGCCACACUGGAACUGAGACACGGUCCAGACUCCUACGGGAGGCAGCAGUGGGGAAUUUUGGACAAUGGGCGCAAGCCUGAUCCCAGCCAUGCCGCGUGAGUGAAGAAGGCCUUCGGGUUGUAAAGCUCUUUCGGCAGGAACGAAAUGGUUCGUGCUAAUACCACGGACUGAUGACGGUACCUGAAGAAGAAGCACCGGCUAACUACGUGCCAGCAACCGCGGUAAUACGUAGGGUGCAGGCGUUAAUCGGAAUUACUGGGCGUAAAGCGUGCGCAGGCGGUUUCUUAAGUCAGAUGUGAAAGCCCCGGGCUUAACCUGGGAACUGCGUUUGAAACUGGGAGACUUGAGUGUGGCAGAGGGGGGUGGAAUUCCACGUAGCAGUGAAAUGCGUAGAUAUGUGGAGGAACACCGAUGGCGAAGGCAGCCCCCUGGGUUAACACUGACGCUCAUGCACGAAAGCGUGGGGAGCAAACAGGAUUAGAUACCCUAGUAGUCC